GACGAACGCUGGCGGCAUGCCUAAUACAUGCAAGUCGAGCGAACAGAUGAAGUGCUUGCACUUCUGACGUUAGCGGCGAACGGGUGAGUAACACGUAAGGAAUCUACCUAUAAGCGGGGGAUAACAUUCGGAAACGGGUGCUAAUUCCGCAUAAUAUCUUCUUCCGCAUGGAAGAAGAUUGAAAGACGGCUCUGCUGUCACUUAUAGAUGACCUUGCGGUGCAUUAGUUAGUUGGUGGGGUAACGGCCUACCAAGACGAUGAUGCAUAGCCGACCUGAGAGGGGGAUCGGCCACAUUGGGACUGAGACACGGCCCAAACUCCUACGGGAGGCAGCAGUAGGGAAUCUUCCGCAAUGGGCGAAAGCCUGACGGAGCAAUGCCGCGUGAGUGAAGAAGGCCUUCGGGUCGUAAAACUCUGUUAUAAGAGAAGAACAAAUUGUAGAGUAACUGCUACAGUCUUGACGGUAUCUUAUCAGAAAGCCACGGCUAACUACGUGCCAGCCGCCGCAGUAA
This 513-nucleotide ribosomal RNA is filed under the name uncultured bacterium. Its description in RNAcentral is "partial 16S ribosomal RNA". It matches the Rfam family "Bacterial small subunit ribosomal RNA", at positions 28 to 523 of the family's 1533-position model. The record is from RNAcentral.